This 1424-nucleotide long non-coding RNA is filed under the name Prunus persica (peach). Its description in RNAcentral is "long non-coding RNA (PPER_LNC006629)". Lineage: Eukaryota; Viridiplantae; Streptophyta; Magnoliopsida; Rosales; Rosaceae. The record is from RNAcentral.
GGAAAGUUAGCUAGAUUAUUGUUCAAUAGGCUCGACUGCCCCGAACGAAUAAGUGGAGCGUGGAUGGAGCCGUGGCUGUUGGAAGCAGCAGCAGUAAGAGGUGGGGUGCUUCCAAUUCCAGCUGAUGGUUGAACUUGAAAUGUAGAGCCAAUUGAUGUUUCCAUUUGCUGUUGGUUCAGGAGCUGUGAGUGAGGUUGGUCUCGUUCGUUAUUGUUGAAGACUAGUUCUGGGUGGCCACAUGCGAAGCUUGACCUGCUCAACCUCUCAAGCUUGUCUUCGUCCCUCGCCGCAGCUUCCUUCUCCUUCAAGAAUAAACGAUACUUCUAGAAAUUCAUAUACGUGCGCAAACCAUCAUUAACUAACAAACAUCUAUACUAGCAUAUCCAUAUACAUUUGAGGUUUCUUCAACCUGUACUUGGUUCGCAGCAGGGUCCUGCACUUCAACUUGAUAAGGAAGUUGAUCGUGACCUCCAUCUUGUUGCCACACACAUUGAAAUAAACAAUUUUGUGGAGAGAGAGAGAGAGAGCUGAAAUAAUAUAUAUUAGCAAGAAUGAAAGAAAAUCAUAAAUUUCUGGUGCAUAUGUACCUGAGAAGGAGGUUGACAGUUGUCCUGCUCAUCCGUGAAAAGAGAAUCGGGCUUCAUGUAGAUAUCAUGAAGAUACCUAUUGGAAUUUUCAACAUUUCCUCCUCCAACAUUGAUAUUUAGCAGACCACAUUGGUCAUUAAAAUUCCCUUCUGGGGGUGGCAACACUGGAACAUUUUGUUGCGGAUCAAGAUCACCUUUGUUGUCAGGCAAAUUUGGAGGGAACUGGUAUGCAGAACUAGCACCAGUCUCAAAACCAGCAGAACACAACGACUGCCAAUCAACUUCGCAUUGAUUUACAUCGUUAAAAUGAGACCACAAGUUAUGAAAGCUCGAAGACAUUGGAGUUAAAUUCGAACCGUUCUGAUUUACUGAUGUAGCAAGGUUGUAGCUGAAUGGGUUAUUGGUCCCUGGCUGGCUUUGUAGUGGGUAUACUUGCAUCAGAUUAUUUUUCCCAAUAUUAUUGUUGGUAAGUCCCACAUUAUUCAUUGGGUCAAAAGACAUACCUCCAUUUUCAAAAUUGUUACUCAGUUGUUGCAUUUCAAAAGCUGCCGGGCGGUUUUCUUGAAUAAACAGCUGAUCCCCAUUACGAUUACCAAGCGUUCGUUGCUGGCGCGGAAAGUUAGCUAGAUUAUUGUUCAAUAGGCUCGACUGCCCCGAACGAAUAAGUGGAGCGUGGAUGGAGCCGUGGCUAUUGGAAGCAACAGCAGUAAGAGGUGGGGUGCUUCCAAUUCCAGCUGAUGGUUGAACUUGAAAUGUAGAGCCAAUUGAUGUUUCCAUUUGCUGUUGGUUCAGGAGCUGUGAGUGAGGUUGGUCUCGUUCGUUAUUGUUGAAGACUAG